This 497-nucleotide ribosomal RNA is filed under the name uncultured bacterium. Its description in RNAcentral is "partial 16S ribosomal RNA". It matches the Rfam family "Bacterial small subunit ribosomal RNA", at positions 28 to 507 of the family's 1533-position model. The record is from RNAcentral.
GAUGAACGCUGGCGGCGUGCCUAAUACAUGCAAGUCGAGCGAACGGACGAGAAGCUUGCUUCUCUGACGUUAGCGGCGGACGGGUGAGUAACACGUAGAUAACCUACCUAUAAGACUGGGAUAACUUCGGGAAACCGGAGCUAAUACCGGAUAAUAUUUUGAACCGCAUGGUUCAAUAGUGAAAGACGGUUUUGCUGUCACUUAUAGAUGGAUCCGCGCUGCAUUAGCUAGUUGGUAAGGUAACGGCUUACCAAGGCAACGAUACAUAGCCGACCUGAGAGGGUGAUCGGCCACACUGGAACUGAGACACGGUCCAGACUCCUACGGGAGGCAGCAGUAGGGAAUCUUCCGCAAUGGGCGAAAGCCUGACGGAGCAACGCCGCGUGAGUGAUGAAGGUCUUCGGAUCGUAAAACUCUGUUAUUAGGGAAGAACAUAUGUGUAAGUAACUGUGCACAUCUUGACGGUACCUAAUCAGAAAGCCACGGCUAACUACGUG